RNAcentral lists this long non-coding RNA (1456 nucleotides) under Carica papaya (papaya). RNAcentral's name for it is "long non-coding RNA (CPAP_LNC013746)". The record is from RNAcentral. Lineage: Eukaryota; Viridiplantae; Streptophyta; Magnoliopsida; Brassicales; Caricaceae.
CAUGCACACACCCACCGGAAUCACCGCCAUUGUUAUUAUCAAAAUUGGAAAUGCCUCCGGAUGAUGAUGAUGAUCUUCAUCUUCGUGAUCCACCAUGAAUGACGACCACGUGGUUGCAGGUAAAUUUCCUCCGUCUCUACAAGCUAGUGUAAGAAAGUGAAAUUUUGGUUUAACUGCGUGUAUGUGUACAUAUAUAAAGAGAAAACAUAUUCAGCAGCCACCAUUUUAGCGGACCUUCGUAUAAGACUUAGUCUGUGUCUGUUUUUAGAUAUUAAAAUUAGAAUUUUGUAUAUGGCUUUGGAUUCCAUCUAUCUGCCUAUGGUGAAGCCCAUAAUCUGUAGCGCCCGGGAAAUUGAAGAAGAAGAAGAAAAAAAAAGGGGGACCACGUCAGCAGCCACGUCAGCAGACCCAGUCAGCAGUCCCGGCCAACCGGGACCUGCCACGUGGCAAGACCACGUCGAUCCGGGACGGGCCACGUUGGCGAUCCGCGUAUGCGCGAUCGGACGGCCAAGAUCAAACGUGCGAUCGGACGGCCCAGAUGCAAUCGCACGGACGACCCAGAUUCAAUAAAAAACGGACGGCCCAGAUUAAAUCAAAAUGGACGGCUGAGAUCAAAAGGCAAAAGGGUAUAAAUAAGACCCCCACACCAGACUACAAAACCCUAGCCGCUGCCCUCGCCGGAGAAGACGAACCAGAAGCCGGCCGCCGCCACCCGCCGCCGCACCGGAGGGAAUUCCGACCGCCGAUCGAGGUAAAUUUCAUACUCCUGACUCGUUUUUCCACGCUGAUUUCCCCUGUGGCCAAAUCAGAGCCAAAAUCCUGGCCAAACGGCCGAAAAAACACGACCGAAACCCAGCGGCGCUGCCGCGCCCCUCCUCGGUUUUUGCCUCCGAUGAGGCCCUUCCCGGCCUCCGUUUAAUGCAAUUUUUAUAUCACCGUGAUCACCAUUCUUUUCUCUACAGGUUGAUCGGAGCCGAAUCACCAAAACACGAACUUCACCGGAGAGCCGCCGUACUCGAGAGCACCGCCGCCGGUAAGCUUCGGUUUUUCGUAAUUUUUUGGCCCCCCGAGGGCCCUAGAGUUGUUUAAUCGCAAGGAUCGAUGCAAGUGUGGCCGAAUUCGGCCGAAAACGGCCAAACCGAGGCGAAUCGCCGCCGUGCCGGAGUUGCGAUAUUGGCCGAAAUGGGCCCUGGGCCUAAUUUGGGAUUUUUUUAAAAACAUGUGCAGGUACCAGUAGUGCGUUUCAGUUUCCCGGAAAAAUUCAGGGAAAAUUAGGGACAGCCUGUAGGCACACUGUGAAACCGUGUUCGGACCCCGAAACGAGUAAGGACCCCUCACCCUAUUUCCUAUCACGGUAUUAAAGUUCAAUAAAUGAUAAAAUGGUAUUUCAUAAAUCAACGAAUGUGUGAAAUUGCUUAAGGUCGCUAAUGGAGCCCGAGUCUAGUGUGUUUGUCGG